RNAcentral lists this ribosomal RNA (371 nucleotides) under uncultured bacterium. RNAcentral's name for it is "bacterial SSU rRNA". It matches the Rfam family "Bacterial small subunit ribosomal RNA", at positions 524 to 898 of the family's 1533-position model. The record is from RNAcentral.
UACGUAGGGGGCAAGCGUUGUCCGGAUUUAUUGGGCGUAAAGGGUGCGUAGGCGGCCUUUUAAGUCAGAUGUGAAAGAUCACGGCUCAACCGUGGUAAGCAUUUGAAACUGGAAGGCUUGAGUUAAGGAGAGGAAAGUGGAAUUCCUAGUGUAGCGGUGAAAUGCGUAGAUAUUAGGAGGAAUACCAGUGGCGAAGGCGACUUUCUGGACUUAUACUGACGCUGAGGCACGAAAGCGUGGGGAGCGAACAGGAUUAGAUACCCUGGUAGUCCACGCCGUAAACGAUGAGUGCUAGGUGUUGGGGGUCAAACCUCGGUGCCGCAGCUAACGCAUUAAGCACUCCGCCUGGGGAGUACGUACGCAAGUAUGAA